This is a non-coding RNA of Camellia sinensis, 1751 nucleotides long. The record is from RefSeq and is a predicted model, not a curated record. Lineage: Eukaryota; Viridiplantae; Streptophyta; Magnoliopsida; Ericales; Theaceae.
UGUUAUUUUUUUAUUAUUACAGUAUAUAUUUACAUAUGCAGCUCAUCAAUUUUAUAUUAUGUGAGAAAGACUCACACUCACCACACUUCUUCACUACACUUCUUUUACGCAUAUCGCUGUCUUUCAAUUUCCCAAAACCCUCUUUCUCUUGAUCCAAGAAACUGCUCUAAUUACUUUCUUCAACCCUUAUUUUUAUGUAAUUUCUUCACACACAUGCAUAAUUGGCAUUCGAUCCGAUUUGUCUAAGAUUUUAUGUAAUUUUAGUCAUUAUCAGGAAUUUCUGUAUUACCAAUUGGGUUUGUGAUUCUGGGCUCUAAUCUGAUUCCAUGAUGUGAAUUUGGGGUUGUUUGUUUGGGGAAUUGUUGUUGUUGAAAGAGUGAUUUUUAAUUUCGGACGAAACUCUGGAUUCAACCAUGGAUAUUUGCGUGGAUACUGCUGAGAUGAGUUCAUAUUUCAGCUUAUUUGCUGCCUUAUCAUAUGGAAUUGCUUCAAUGGCCAUGGUUUUCAUCAAUAAAGCAGUUCUCAUGCAGUAUGCAUCGUCAAUGACCCUUCUCACUCUCCAGCAAUUGGCAACAACCAUGCUUAUAUAUUGUGGGCGGGUGAUGGGAUACACAAAAGCCAAAGGAGUUAAUGUUGAGACUGCCAAAAAGCUCAUCCUAGUUUCAUUAUUCUACAAUGCAAAUGUGGCAUUUGCUUUAGCAAGUUUGAAAGGAGUAAAUAUUCCGAUGUAUAUUGCCAUAAAAAGACUUACACCGCUUGCUGUAUUAAUUGCUGGGUUCUUUUCUGGAAAGGGGAGACCUUCGACACAGGUAAUUCUUUCGGUAGUAUUGACUGCUGCUGGGGUUAUGAUUGCAGCGCUGGGAGAUUUUUCUUUUGACCUUGUUGGAUAUAGCAUGGCCUUUACUUCUGUUUUCUUCCAGACCAUGUACCUUGUGUUGGUGGAGAAGUCUGGUGCAGAGGACGGACUUUCAUCAGUAGAGAUCAUGUUCUAUAACAGCUUUUUGUCUUUACCAUUUCUGGUAUUUCUUAUCAUAGCUACAGGAGAGUUUCCAGAUUCUUUGUCAUUGUUAUUUGCAAAGGCCCAAACUUUUUUGGUAAGAACAAUUCCCCCAAAGGAAGUCCCGCACAUCUAUACAGCAACAUGUUGCUUCAUUGGACCAAGCUUGACCAUGAGCAUGAUCCUCACCGAAGGGUCCAAUAUUGUCAAGACGAUCCUUGCUGCACAACUCAGCUACUUAUUGUCUAUUGGAAAUGUUUCCCACAGCUAAGUCUCAUGUUGCUCAACCAUGUGUUAGCAUAAACCCCUAACUUAGCUGACAAGUUUCCAUUGCAUAUUAGGUCCUUGUUGCGCACCUUGAACAGCCAGCCACUGGGUCAUCCUUGGUCCUGGCCCCCAUACAACACUAAGGUCACUUGUGUGCCCACAGCAUUGCACGAACGUGACGCUAGAGUAAGUCAACAUGUCAAUCCAUUGUCUGCAAGAAGCAUUACACCAAUCCGCACACCAAGCUCAUGAUGCUCAACACAAGAGAAGGUUUCAUGCGAUCAUCGAUUGCCUACAAGUUGCGAUAGUGCGGCUGCUCAGUAUCACAUAUCCUGGACUACAAGACAUAGGCAAGAGUUCUUCAUUAUCAUUUUUGGUGAUUGUUCUUCUUUCAUUGGUGAUGGGCAUAGUUCUCAACUACACGAUGUUCUUAUGUACAAUAGUGAACUCGGCUUUAACGACAACCAUCGUUGGGGUCCUUAAGGGG